GGGCUGGGGCUCAGUGGUAGAGCACUUGCCUGGCAUGUGUGAGGCACUGGGUUCGAUCCUCAGCACCACA
RNAcentral lists this transfer RNA (70 nucleotides) under Marmota monax (woodchuck). Its description in RNAcentral is "tRNA.Ala". The record is from RNAcentral. Lineage: Eukaryota; Metazoa; Chordata; Mammalia; Rodentia; Sciuridae.